CCUACGGGUGGCAGCAGUGAGGAAUAUUGGUCAAUGGACGCAAGUCUGAACCAGCCAUGCCGCGUGCAGGAUGACGGCCCUAUGAGUUGUAAACUGCUUUUGUACGAGGGUAAACGCAGAUACGUGUAUCUGUCUGAAAGUAUCGUACGAAUAAGGAUCGGCUAACUCCGUGCCAGCAGCCGCGGUAAUACGGAGGAUCCAAGCGUUAUCCGGAUUUAUUGGGUUUAAAGGGUGCGUAGGCGGUCGUAUAAGUUAGAGGUGAAAUCCCGAGGCUCAACCUCGGAAUUGCCGCUGAUACUGGGCGGCUAGAGAGUAGUAGCGGUAGGCGGAAUGUAUGGUGUAGCGGUGAAAUGCUUAGAGAUCAUGCAGAACACCGAUUGCGAAGGCAGCUUACCGUGCUGCUACUGACGUUGAGGCACGAAAGUGUGGGGAGCAAACAGGAUUAGAUACCCGAGUAGUC
RNAcentral lists this ribosomal RNA (460 nucleotides) under uncultured bacterium. RNAcentral's name for it is "partial 16S ribosomal RNA". It matches the Rfam family "Bacterial small subunit ribosomal RNA", at positions 338 to 795 of the family's 1533-position model. The record is from RNAcentral.